This 3237-nucleotide long non-coding RNA is filed under the name Brassica napus (rape). RNAcentral describes it as "long non-coding RNA (BNAP_LNC017031)". The record is from RNAcentral. Lineage: Eukaryota; Viridiplantae; Streptophyta; Magnoliopsida; Brassicales; Brassicaceae.
CUGAUCCCUGAUCUUCCCGAGCCCGUAGCCCGCGAGUGCCUCCUACGCUCCUCCUACCAGCAAUUUCCUCUGAUCUCCUCUGUUUCCAAACUCUGGCGGCGAGAGAUCAGUCUCCCUGAUUUUCUCCGACACCGUAAAUCUUCAGGACACAGCCAGGAGCUUGUUGUCUUGUCCCAGGCUAGGAUCAAACCUGUUUCGGAACUCGGUUCGGGAAAAACCAUCCCUACUCCCGUGUACCGGAUCUCUGUUCUUGAACCAGAGUCCGGUUUAUGGACCGAGCUGCCUCCGGUUCCCGGCAAAUCCAACGGCUUGCCUCUGUUUUGUAGAUUAGCUUCUGUCGGGACGGAUCUUGUCGUGAUCGGGGGGCUUGACCCGGCCACGUGGCGGACCUCUGAUUCUGUCUUCAUCUUCAGCUUCUUGACUUCCACGUGGCGUAACGGGACGAGCAUGCCGGGUGGACCACGCUCCUUCUUCGCCUGCGCUUCUGAUUCUGAACGGAACGUGUUCGUCGCCGGUGGACACGACGAAGACAAGAACGCGCUGACGUCAGCUCUCGUGUACGACGUGGCAGAAGACAGAUGGGCUUUACUGCCAGACAUGGGCCGUGAACGAGACGAAUGCACGGCUAUUUUCCACGCUGGCAAAUUUCAGGUCAUAGGUGGUUACACCACGGUGGAGCAAGGGCAGUUUAGUAAAACCGCCGAGUCACUCGACGUCGCGACACGGCGGUGGGGAGCAGAGACUAAAGAUUUUCUCGCUCCGGGGAUGACUACUUGGCCUCCGGUCUGUGCAGCCGGCGGAAACGGAGUGCUUUACGCUUGCUGCCGCCGUGAUCUGAUGGUGAUGAAUGGUGACACGUGGCAGAAAGUUGGGGAUUUACCUGCUGACGUGUGUAAUGUAUCAUACGUGGCGGUAAGGAGGUCUGGUAAGCUGGUCGUUAUCGGUUCGGCUCGGUACGGUGAACCAAGCGUAGGGUACAUUUGGCAUACGAGUGAUUCUCGCUGGGAGAAGCUGGAAACGUGUGAAAAAUAUGAAGGUCACGUUCAAGCUGGUUGUUUCUUGGAGAUAUAACACGAGGAUGCAAGAUUGGUCGGUUGGUUUCUUUCGGUUCAUGGAAUCAUGGUGUGACUGUACAAAUAUUCUAUAGAUAUCCAAAAAAGGUUUAUAAGCUUGAGUGUUAAUUUGUUGUUGAUUCAUUUUAUAUUUUUGUGCUUCGUUUUGUUAAUAACACAGAUGAGUGUUCAAUUUUCAAAUCCAACAAACAAUGAGACAUAACACGAGUAACACGACAACGUUGAAUCGUUGUACUUUUGUCCUUUGAAGCUUCAUCUUUUGUGGAUCAAAAGAAUAAAGUUGGGCAUCUGGGCCUAUUUGGGCCACAUUAAGUUAUUAUGCAAGUUUAUAAAUCUACCGUUAAUCAUUGUUGUGUGAUGUUACCGAAAUUAGCGGUAGAUGAAUUAUAUACUCUCUUUUCUUUUGUAACUGAGAUGAAAUACAUCCUACCACGACCUCUUUCAAUGCAGAGCGAGAAAAGUAGGGAUGUUGUCGUGGGCUCAUUUCUAAAGGGUUAGCCCGGCCCGCAUGAAAAUUUAUAACCCAAAACCCGUAUUUUUUAAUGUGGGUUAAGAAUGGGCCGCCUAAUUUUACGCUAGGGUACCAAUAGGGUUAAUUAUUUUCCAUCUCUCUUUCAGUUAUACCGUACAACUCGACAUCGAAAUCAAAAUCAAAGGUUCUGGGUUUGUUCUGAAUCGAAAUCGAAGGCGAGGGGUUUGUCCUGAAUCGAAAUCGAAGGCUAUAUGUUCUUAUGAAGACGAAAAUGAAAUCGAAGGCUAGGGGUUUGUUCUGAAUCGAAAUCGAUGGCCCAUCUCACAUGGAUCUUCUGAAAACGAAAAUGAAAUCAAAGGUAUCUCUCGAUCUUCUGGGUUAUCUUCUCUUAGACUUGUAGACUUCUAGUUGUAUUUGUUUGCUUGAUUGACUUAUGGUUCUAUCUUACGCUAAUUGAGUUCCAUUGUGAUGGGCGUACUAGAUUAAUUAACGACACUUAUACCUUAGCUAAUUAAGAUCGAUGGCAAAUGCCAAAUCCAACGGCCAUCACAUCAUUCAAAUCCAAGAUGUCCCCAAUUAGUACACAAUAUCUCCAUCAUGAAAACCCAAAACCGCACAUCGUUUCUACUAACCGAUCGGUACUCUCUCCCGAAUUUCGUUACCUUGUCCUAUCCGUUUUCUUGUUCAAAGUAAUUCACAUACGUCUAUAGAACGAUGUUUACCUAAGAGCAAAAGAAUUCAACACAAACAUGUAACUUUUCCUUUUUAAUAAAGAACGUAACACUUACGUUUCUAUAAUAAAUAUUCACAUGUUCUUCUCGGAAGUCGGAAUCAUCAAAAUAUUACUCCCUCCGUUUUACAAAGAAUGUCACUUAGACAUUUUUCACAUAUAUUAAGUAACUCAUUAAAAUGCAUUUAUGUUUUCAUUAAUAUCACAUAUCUAACCAAUAGUAUUUUAGAUAAAUCGAGUUAUUUAUAAAAUCAAUACAUUUUGCAAUUAAUUUUGAGCUUAAAAAUUGUAUAAAUUGCAUUGGUAUUGUAGAAUGAUACUCUUUGUAAAACAAGAAAAAUGAGCUAAAGUGACACUUAAUACGAAACAGAUAGAGUAUAUAAUUUACACAAAUUGGAAAUAUUUUUAGGCAGUGUAGUGAAUGUAUUCAAUUAACACAAUAAAAUAAAAGUUUCUAGUAACGAAUUUAAAUUUCACUUUCAGUUUAUAGCUUCUAGAAGACUUAUCACUAUAAAGAUUAAAGCGGCAACACUCUUCUCUCUCACAUCAUCAAUUACUUCUCAACCCUGAACUGAAUCACAAUAUCAUAUUUCUCUUCAACGUUGAAAUUUAUACGACAAUAUGGAGCUGAUCCCUGAUCUUCCCGAGCCCGUAGCCCGCGAGUGCCUCCUACGCUCCUCCUACCAGCAAUUUCCUCUGAUCUCCUCUGUUUCCAAACUCUGGCGGCGAGAGAUCAGUCUCCCUGAUUUUCUCCGACACCGUAAAUCUUCAGGACACAGCCAGGAGCUUGUUGUCUUGUCCCAGGCUAGGAUCAAACCUGUUUCGGAACUCGGUUCGGGAAAAACCAUCCCUACUCCCGUGUACCGGAUCUCUGUUCUUGAACCAGAGUCCGGUUUAUGGACCGAGCUGCCUCCGGUUCCCGGCAAAUCCAACGGCUUGCCUCUGUUUUGUAGAUUAGCUUC